RNAcentral lists this ribosomal RNA (782 nucleotides) under uncultured Neocallimastigales. RNAcentral's name for it is "partial large subunit ribosomal RNA". It matches the Rfam family "Eukaryotic large subunit ribosomal RNA", at positions 18 to 640 of the family's 3401-position model. The record is from RNAcentral. Lineage: Eukaryota; Fungi; Neocallimastigomycota; Neocallimastigomycetes; Neocallimastigales.
UCAGACGAUGCGUCAUGCAUAUCAAUAAGCGGAGGAAAAGAAACUAACAAGGAUUCCCCUUAGUAACGGCGAGUGAAGCGGGAAGAGCUCAAAUUUGAAAUCUUCAAGGUUUGACCUUGACGAAUUGUAGUUUAAAGAAGUGUUUUCGGUUAGAGGAGUUUGGUAAAAGUUCUUUGGAAUAGGACAUCAUAGAGGGUGAGAAUCCCGUAUUUGACCAUUAUUUUCUAGCUUUGUGAAUACACUUUCAAAGAGUCGGAUUGUUUGGGAAUGCAGUCCAAAAUGGGUGGUAAAUUUCAUCUAAAGCUAAAUAUUGGCGAGAGACCGAUAGCGAACAAGUACCGAUGAGGGAAAGAUGAAAAGAACUUUGAAAAGAGAGUUAAACAGUACGUGAAAUUGUCAAAAGGGAAGCGUUUGACACCAGUGUUGUUUUCUCGAAAAUCAAUUAAAAAGAGUUGGAUUUUGUGUUGUAUUGACCUUAACAGCUUGCUUCACUCUUUUCCUGCUUUUUUUAAUGCACUUUUCCGUUUAACAAGUCAACAUCAGUUUCUUUUGUCGUAAAAGGGUCAUUGGAAGGUGGCUUUCUCUUCGGAGAAAGUGUUUAUAGCCUUUGAUCUCUGCAAUCGGAGAGACUGAGGUCUGCAGCGUAGAUCCUUCGGGGUUAGAUACAUUUGUGCUAGAGCUACAGCUUUUCAUAGACAACUUGUUGACUAUGUUUAGUCUUGUAACUUACCCGCUUAUGCUAUUUUACCUACGCUUAGGAUGUUGAUAUGCAUGACUGAUAU